CUACUACUCCCUCCGUCCGGAAAUACUUGUCGGAAGAUAGGAUGUAUCUAGACGUAUUUUAGUUUUAGAUACAUCCAUUUUUAUGCAUUUCUCCGACAAGUAUUUCCGGACGGAGGGAGUAUUUU
Non-coding RNA from Triticum aestivum (bread wheat), 125 nucleotides. The record is from Rfam. NCBI's taxonomy places the organism in Eukaryota, Viridiplantae, Streptophyta, Magnoliopsida, Poales, Poaceae.